GAUGAACGCUAGCUACAGGCUUAACACAUGCAGGUCGCGGGGCAGCAUGGGGGUUGCUUGCAAUCCCCGAUGGCGACCGGCGCACGGGUGAGUAACGCGUAUCCAACCUGCCCUUCACCACGGGAUAACCCGGCGAAAGUCGGACUAAUACCGUAUGUUGUCCAUUGACGGCAUCCGAUUUGUACGAAAGGUUUGGCGGUGAAGGAUGGGGAUGCGUCCGAUUAGCUGGACGGCGGGGUGACGGCCCACCGUGGCGACGAUCGGUAGGGGUUCUGAGAGGAAGGUCCCCCACACUGGAACUGAGACACGGUCCAGACUCCUACGGGAGGCAGCAGUGAGGAAGAUUGGGCAAUGGGCGUAAGCCUGAACCAGCCAAGUAGCGUGCAGGAUGACGGCCCUAUGGGUUGUAAACUGCUUUUAUGCGGGGAUAAAGUGGCCCACGUGUGGGUUUUUGCAGGUACCGAAUGAAUAAGGACCGGCUAAUUCCGUG
RNAcentral lists this ribosomal RNA (490 nucleotides) under uncultured bacterium. RNAcentral describes it as "partial 16S ribosomal RNA". It matches the Rfam family "Bacterial small subunit ribosomal RNA", at positions 28 to 507 of the family's 1533-position model. The record is from RNAcentral.